Long non-coding RNA from Mus musculus (house mouse), 399 nucleotides. RefSeq annotates it as predicted gene, 40942. NCBI's taxonomy places the organism in Eukaryota, Metazoa, Chordata, Mammalia, Rodentia, Muridae. The record is from RefSeq and is a predicted model, not a curated record. The transcript has 3 exons.
GGUUCAGAUCCCGACCUGGCUGCCUCCCCACCCUCGCAGAAAAUAAAGACUUCACUUUUAAGCUUCUGUGAGGAGUGACCACAGGUUGCCUCUCUCAGCACAUGAGGAGCUGUCACGUGUCCUGAGGGAAGAAGGGACACUGACACCCUCUACUGGAAAACAACAACAACAACAAAAACUACAUAACAAGUCCUGGUAGACGCUCAGGAGGCAGAGGCAAGUGGAUCUUUUAUGAGUUCAAGGCCAGCCUGGUCCACAUAGCGUGUUCUAGGACAACCAGCCUACAACAUGAGACCCAACAACAAUAACCACAGCCUUUAAAAACAAAGCAACAACAACAAAACAGAGGUAGUGCUGUCUGUCAAUGGAUACAGAGUGGUCAACUGGGUGGAGGGUGUC